UCUGUUGUCUUCCAAACUUCUUCCAAGUAAAUACAGAUUAUAAUUAUUCCAAACUUACAAAUGCAAGCAGCUCUUGGAACUACAUGGAUUGAACCCAGUGCCUCACAUGCAAGGCAAAUGCUCUACUGCUGAGCUGUGACCCCAGCCCUCCUAUGGUCUUUUAAACAGAAACCUAACAGUGACUUCCCACUACCACGACAAAGAAACAGUGUCCAGAACAGGAUGUAAGAGUGUCUACCUCCUCCA
Urocitellus parryii (Arctic ground squirrel) is the source of this 246-nucleotide non-coding RNA. The record is from RefSeq and is a predicted model, not a curated record. Lineage: Eukaryota; Metazoa; Chordata; Mammalia; Rodentia; Sciuridae.